AUACGGAGGAUGCGAGCGUUAUCCGGAUUUAUUGGGUUUAAAGGGAGCGUAGGUGGGAUAUUAAGUCAGCUGUGAAAGUUUGGGGCUCAACCUUAAAAUUGCAGUUGAUACUGGUUUCCUUGAGUACGGUACAGGUGGGCGGAAUUCGUGGUGUAGCGGUGAAAUGCUUAGAUAUCACGAAGAACUCCGAUCGCGAAGGCAGCUCACCGGGCCGGAACUGACACUGAUGCUCGAAAGUGCGGGUAUCAAGCAGGAUUAGAUACCCUGGUAGUCCGCACAGUAAACGAUGAAUACUCGCUGUUUGCGAUACACUGUAAGCGGCCAAGCGAAAGCGUUAAGUAUUCCACCUGGGGAGUACGCCGGCAACGGUGAAACUCAAAUGAAUUGACGGGG
RNAcentral lists this ribosomal RNA (393 nucleotides) under uncultured bacterium. RNAcentral's name for it is "partial 16S ribosomal RNA". It matches the Rfam family "Bacterial small subunit ribosomal RNA", at positions 523 to 918 of the family's 1533-position model. The record is from RNAcentral.